ACAGCAACUGUAGAGACUGAAGUCCUCUCCUUAGCCACAGAACAGGUACAGCAUGGGCGGUGUAAGCUUACUCUUCCAAAUGAGCCUCAUCCCUGCCCCACUUGAGUAUAUCAACUUUUUACAGGAAACCAAGUCCAUUCAUCAGAAGGCUGUUCAGCCUUUAUGCCUUUCCCAUCUCUGCU
This 182-nucleotide small RNA is filed under the name Chrysemys picta bellii (western painted turtle). RNAcentral's name for it is "TUC338 (ENSCPBG00000010513.1)". The record is from RNAcentral. Lineage: Eukaryota; Metazoa; Chordata; Testudines; Emydidae.